This 517-nucleotide ribosomal RNA is filed under the name uncultured bacterium. RNAcentral describes it as "bacterial SSU rRNA". It matches the Rfam family "Bacterial small subunit ribosomal RNA", at positions 8 to 518 of the family's 1533-position model. The record is from RNAcentral.
AGAGUUGAUUAUGGCUCAGGAUGAACGCUGGCGGCGUGCCUAACACAUGCAAGUCGAGCGGGAAUCUGCUGAAUGAAGCUUCGGCCGAGUGACGCAGAGGAGAGCGGCGGACGGGUGAGUAACGCGUAGGUAACCUACCUUAUGCACAGGGAUAGCCCCGGGAAACUGGAAUUAAUACCUGAUAAAGCGGCUAGGUCACAUGGCCUUGGCCGCCAAAGAUUUAUCGGCAUAAGAUGGACCUGCGUCUGAUUAGCUGGUUGGUGAGGUAACGGCCCACCAAGGCGACGAUCAGUAGCCGACCUGAGAGGGUAAUCGGCCACAUUGGAACUGAGACACGGUCCAAACUCCUACGGGAGGCAGCAGUGGGGAAUAUUACACAAUGGGCGACCAAGCCUGAUGUAGCAACGCCGCGUGAGCGAAGAAGGUCUUCGGAUACGUAAAGCUCUGUCCGUUGGGGACGAAGGAAGUGACGGUACCCGAAGGGGGAAGCCCCGGCUAACUACGUGCCAGCCGCGGC